UCCCUGGAAGUGUGGGUAACAGUGUA
RNAcentral lists this non-coding RNA (26 nucleotides) under Homo sapiens (human). The record is from RNAcentral. Lineage: Eukaryota; Metazoa; Chordata; Mammalia; Primates; Hominidae.